Molecule: ribosomal RNA, 669 nt
Filed under: Brucella rhizosphaerae
Lineage: Bacteria; Pseudomonadati; Pseudomonadota; Alphaproteobacteria; Hyphomicrobiales; Brucellaceae
Description: bacterial SSU rRNA
Rfam family: Bacterial small subunit ribosomal RNA
Source: RNAcentral
CUCAGAACGAACGCUGGCGGCAGGCUUAACACAUGCAAGUCGAGCGCCCCGCAAGGGGAGCGGCAGACGGGUGAGUAACGCGUGGGAAUCUACCUUUUGCUACGGAACAACAGUUGGAAACGACUGCUAAUACCGUAUGUGCCCUUCGGGGGAAAGAUUUAUCGGCAAAGGAUGAGCCCGCGUUGGAUUAGCUAGUUGGUGAGGUAAAGGCUCACCAAGGCGACGAUCCAUAGCUGGUCUGAGAGGAUGAUCAGCCACACUGGGACUGAGACACGGCCCAGACUCCUACGGGAGGCAGCAGUGGGGAAUAUUGGACAAUGGGCGCAAGCCUGAUCCAGCCAUGCCGCGUGAGUGAUGAAGGCCCUAGGGUUGUAAAGCUCUUUCACCGGUGAAGAUAAUGACGGUAACCGGAGAAGAAGCCCCGGCUAACUUCGUGCCAGCAGCCGCGGUAAUACGAAGGGGGCUAGCGUUGUUCGGAUUUACUGGGCGUAAAGCGCACGUAGGCGGAUUUUUAAGUCAGGGGUGAAAUCCCGGGGCUCAACCCCGGAACUGCCUUUGAUACUGGAAGUCUUGAGUAUGGUAGAGGUGAGUGGAAUUCCGAGUGUAGAGGUGAAAUUCGUAGAUAUUCGGAGGAACACCAGUGGCGAAGGCGGCUCACUGGACCAUUAC